GACCCAUUCGUCCAAUGGUUAAGACAAAACUCUUUCACUGUUGAAAUAAGGGUUCAAAUCCCUUAUGGGUUA
Molecule: non-coding RNA, 72 nt
Organism: Jatropha curcas
Lineage: Eukaryota; Viridiplantae; Streptophyta; Magnoliopsida; Malpighiales; Euphorbiaceae
Source: Rfam